AGUAACGCGUGAGUAACCUGCCUCUCAGAGGGGGAUAACGUUCUGAAAAGGACGCUAAUACCGCAUGACAUCCCGGGGCCGCAUGGUCCUGGGAUCAAAGGAGCAAUCCGCUGAGAGAUGGACUCGCGUCCGAUGAGCUAGUUGGUGAGAUAAAGGCCCACCAAGGCGACGAUCGGUAGCCGGACUGAGAGGUUGAACGGCCACAUUGGGACUGAGACACGGCCCAGACUCCUACGGGAGGCAGCAUG
This 248-nucleotide ribosomal RNA is filed under the name uncultured bacterium. RNAcentral's name for it is "partial 16S ribosomal RNA". It matches the Rfam family "Bacterial small subunit ribosomal RNA", at positions 109 to 353 of the family's 1533-position model. The record is from RNAcentral.